UCCGGCUUGACGCCGGCAGUCCCCCGACAGCCAUGCACCACCUGUAUACCGACCACAAGGGGGGCCGUAUCUCUACGGCUUUCCGGUAUAUGUCAAACCCAGGUAAGGUUCUUCGCGUUGCAUCGAAUUAAUCCACAUGCUCCGCCGCUUGUGCGGGCCCCCGUCAAUUCCUUUGAGUUUUAGCCUUGCGGCCGUACUCCCCAGGCGGGGCGCUUAAUGCGUUAGCUACGGCACGGAUCCCGUGGAAGGAAACCCACACCUAGCGCCCACCGUUUACGGCGUGGACUAC
RNAcentral lists this unclassified non-coding RNA (289 nucleotides) under uncultured Nocardiaceae bacterium. RNAcentral describes it as "contains 16S-23S intergenic spacer region". The record is from RNAcentral. Lineage: Bacteria; Bacillati; Actinomycetota; Actinomycetes; Mycobacteriales; Nocardiaceae.